CAGAUCAUGUCUUCUGAUUGAUAAUUUUUUAUCUACCAAUUCUUGUCAUAGAGUGAAAGAAAUGAACCACACGCCUUCCUAUCCAUUUCCUUUACGGCAUCCACAUUGAACUUCUUUGUAAUGCUUUUUAUUGAUGGCCUAUCAAAGGGAUAUCCCAUCAAGUCUAAACUGCGCAGCUACGAACCCCAAGUGAAAAUUCACAUAGUUCCAAGUCGUUUGUUCAUCUUUGAAGGUGUCAAAAU
Molecule: long non-coding RNA, 242 nt
Filed under: Amborella trichopoda
Lineage: Eukaryota; Viridiplantae; Streptophyta; Magnoliopsida; Amborellales; Amborellaceae
Description: long non-coding RNA (ATRI_LNC002556)
Source: RNAcentral